This 449-nucleotide ribosomal RNA is filed under the name uncultured bacterium. Its description in RNAcentral is "partial 16S ribosomal RNA". It matches the Rfam family "Bacterial small subunit ribosomal RNA", at positions 338 to 795 of the family's 1533-position model. The record is from RNAcentral.
CCUACGGGUGGCUGCAGUGGGGAAUUUUGGACAAUGGGCGAAAGCCUGAUCCAGCCAUGCCGCGUGAGUGAAGAAGGCCUUCGGGUUGUAAAGCUCUUUCGCAAGGAAAGAAAACUUAGCUACUAAUACUAGUUGAGGAUGACGGUACCUUGAUAAGAAGCACCGGCUAACUACGUGCCAGCAGCCGCGGUAAUACGUAGGGUGCGAGCGUUAGUCGGAAUUACGCGGGCGGUUGCGUAAGUCAGAGGUGAAAUCCCCGGGCUCAACCUGGGAACUGCGUUUGAAACUACAAGGCUAGAGUGUAGAAGAGGGGGGUAGAAUUCCACGUGUAGCAGUGAAAUGCGUAGAGAUGUGGAGGAAUACCGAUGGCGAAGGCAGCCCCCUGGGCUAACACUGACGCUCAUGCACGAAAGCGUGGGGAGCAAACAGGAGUAGAUACCCUUGUAGUC